AUACGGAGGGUCCAAGCGUUAUCCGGAAUCAUUGGGUUUAAAGGGUUCGUAGGCGGGUCAAUAAGUCAGAGGUGAAAUCUUGCAGCUUAACUGUAAAAUUGCCUUUGAUACUGUUGACCUUGAAUUACUGUGAAGUGGUUAGAAUAUGUAGUGUAGCGGUGAAAUGCUUAGAGAUUACAUAGAAUACCGAUUGCGAAGGCAGAUCACUAACAGUAGAUUGACGCUGAUGAACGAAGCGUGGGUAGCGAACGGGAUUAGAAACCCUAGUAGUCC
This 273-nucleotide ribosomal RNA is filed under the name uncultured bacterium. RNAcentral describes it as "partial 16S ribosomal RNA". It matches the Rfam family "Bacterial small subunit ribosomal RNA", at positions 523 to 796 of the family's 1533-position model. The record is from RNAcentral.